UGCUCCUACGGGGGGCAGCAGUAGGGAAUCUUCCACAAUGGGCGAAAGUCUGAUGGAGCAACGCCGCGUGAGUGAAGAAGGGUUUCGGCUCGUAAAGCUCUGUUGGUAGUGAAGAAAGAUAGAGGUAGUAACUGGCCUUUAUUUGACGGUAAUUACUUAGAAAGUCACGGCUAACUACGUGCCAGCAGCCGCGGUAAUACGUAGGUGGCGAACGUUGUCCGGAAUUACUGGGUGUAAAGGGAGUGUAGGCGGGGAAGCAAGGCAGAAGUGAAAACUAUGGGGUUAAACCA
Molecule: ribosomal RNA, 290 nt
Filed under: uncultured bacterium
Lineage: Bacteria
Description: partial 16S ribosomal RNA
Rfam family: Bacterial small subunit ribosomal RNA
Source: RNAcentral